AGGAUGAACGCUGGCGGCGUGCCUAACACAUGCAAGUCGAACGUCCUGUCUCGCAAGAGGCAGGGAGUGGCGGACGGGUGAGUACCACGUGGGUCAUCUACCGUGAGGUGAGGAAUACCGGCGAGAAAUCGCCGACAAGACCGCAUAGCCUCGGUGCAAGCCGAGGAAAGCUUUCUCGAGAGAGGGAGCGCCACACGAGGAGCCUGCGCCCGAUUAGCUAGCUGGUGGAGUAACGGUUCACCAGGGCGACGAUCGGUAGCUGGUCUGAGAGGACGAUCAGCCACACUGGGAUUGAGAACGGCCCAGACUCCUACGGGGGGCAGCAGUGAGGAAUUUUCGUCAAUGGGGCAACCCUGAACGAGCAACGCCGCGUGCAGGAAGAAGGUUUUCGGAUCGUAAACUGCUUUUCGUCGGGGAAGAGAACGGACGGUACCCGAGGAAUCAGCCCCGGCUAACUACGUGCCAGCAGCCGC
RNAcentral lists this ribosomal RNA (473 nucleotides) under uncultured bacterium. Its description in RNAcentral is "SSU rRNA". It matches the Rfam family "Bacterial small subunit ribosomal RNA", at positions 26 to 518 of the family's 1533-position model. The record is from RNAcentral.